Molecule: long non-coding RNA, 561 nt
Filed under: Monodelphis domestica (gray short-tailed opossum)
Lineage: Eukaryota; Metazoa; Chordata; Mammalia; Didelphimorphia; Didelphidae
Description: lncRNA (ENSMODG00000033255.2)
Source: RNAcentral
AUGAUGAUUCUGUGGCCAGAAAGAGUACAACGAAGCUCUCUAAUUCUUGAUAGUCACUUUGCCUCCUGGUGCAGCGAUGGUGGCCACAUAAAGCUUCCUUUGAAGGUGACUGGAGUCUUGAGCUUGAAUCAGUACCACAGGGAUACAGGGAAAGGCAAGACUCCACUCCCCUGUCAAACUCUGACAAUGUGUGAUAGCGCAGGUGUUUAUGCUCUGUACUACUGUUUGACAAGGCUAAUGUAGAACUGAAUUAAAUAUUAAUUUGUCUAAUAUGUUAGACAUAUAGAAGUAGACAGGGAACACAGCUGGCAAAAUUGCAUUUCUGACUGUUAAGACUACUGUUAUAGUCUUCUUUGUACCUCAUGCUGUUUUCAUACCACUAGACUGAUGUUUAUUUUUACAGGAUCACGCCUGCUGUCAUCCAUAUCAUUACCACCUCAUCUCCUUCUAGGAUAUAGUAAAAAGUAAUCAAUAAUGUAUACUAUAAGAAGGUCUUCAGACGUUAAGUUCUCCCUGUUAUCUCCUGAUAAUAAAUGACUAAAAAAUUCCUUCUAAAAUUCA